RNAcentral lists this transfer RNA (70 nucleotides) under Sauromalus australis. RNAcentral's name for it is "tRNA-Trp". The record is from RNAcentral. Lineage: Eukaryota; Metazoa; Chordata; Lepidosauria; Squamata; Iguanidae.
AGAAGCUUAGGAUCAACCAAACCAAGGACCUUCAAAGUCCAAAAUAGGAGUGAAACCCCCCUAGCUUCUG